AGCUGCGGCAGCGACACUCAGGUGUUGUUGGGUAGGGGAGCGUUCUGUAAGCCUGCGAAGGUGGCCUGUGAGGGUUGCUGGAGGUAUCAGAAGUGCGAAUGCUGACAUAAGUAACGAUAAAGCGGGUGAAAAGCCCGCUCGCCGGAAGACCAAGGGUUCCUGUCCAACGUUAAUCGGGGCAGGGUGAGUCGACCCCUAAGGCGAGGCCGAAAGGCGUAGUCGAUGGGAAACGGGUUAAUAUUCCCGUACUUGGUGUUACUGCGAAGGGGGGACGGAGAAGGCUAUGUUGGCCGGGCGACGGUUGUCCCGGUUUAAGCGUGUAGGUGUGUGUUCCAGGUAAAUCCGGUUCACUUUAACACUGAGGCGUGAUGACGAGGCACUACGGUGCUGAAGCAACAAAUGCCCUGCUUCCAGGAAAAGCCUCUAAGCAUCAGGUAACAUCAAAUCGUACCCCAAACCGACACAGGUGGUCAGGUAGAGAAUACCAAGGCGCUUGAGAGAACUCGGGUGAAGGAACUAGGCAAAAUGGUGCCGUAACUUCGGGAGAAGGCACGCUGACAC
RNAcentral lists this ribosomal RNA (561 nucleotides) under Salmonella enterica. RNAcentral describes it as "partial 23S ribosomal RNA". It matches the Rfam family "Bacterial large subunit ribosomal RNA", at positions 1198 to 1757 of the family's 2925-position model. The record is from RNAcentral. Lineage: Bacteria; Pseudomonadati; Pseudomonadota; Gammaproteobacteria; Enterobacterales; Enterobacteriaceae.